RNAcentral lists this ribosomal RNA (253 nucleotides) under uncultured prokaryote. RNAcentral describes it as "partial 16S ribosomal RNA". It matches the Rfam family "Bacterial small subunit ribosomal RNA", at positions 524 to 776 of the family's 1533-position model. The record is from RNAcentral.
UACAGAGGUCUCGAGCGUUAGGCGGAAUCACUGGGCUUAAAGCGUGUGUAGGCGGAUUGGUAAGUACCUUGUGAAAUCCCACAGCUUAACUGUGGAACUGCUUGGUAUACUGCCUGUCUUGAGCCAGCUAGGGGCGACCGGAACAAAUGGUGGAGCGGUGAAAUGCGUAGAUAUCAUUUGGAACGCCAAUGGUGAAAACAGGUCGCUGGGGCUGUGCUGACGCUGAGACACGAAAGCCAGGGGAGCAAACGGG